GUGAACGCUGGCGGCGUGCUUAACACAUGCAAGUCGAACGGUAACAGGAAGUAGUUUGCUACUUUGCUGACGAGUGGCGCACGGGUGAGUAAUAUAUAGUUAAUGUGCCUCGAAGACUGGGAUAGCCACUGGAAACGGUGAUUAAUACUAGAUACGCCUUUUUAACUUAAGUUACAUCGGGAAACGUAUUUUCGCUUCGAGAUAAGACUAUAUCCUAUCAGUUAGUUGGUGAGGUAAUGGCUCACCAAGGCAAUGACCGGUAGCUGGUCUGAGAGGAUGAUCCGCCACACUGGUACUGAGACACGGACCAGACUCCUACGGGAGGCAGCAGUGAGGAAUAUUGCACAAUGGGGGGAACCCUGAUGCAGCAACGCCGCGUGGAGGAUGACGCAUUUCGGUGUGUAAACUCCUUUUAUAUGUCAAGAAAAUGACGGUAGCAUAUGAAGAAGCACCGGCUAACUCCGU
Molecule: ribosomal RNA, 465 nt
Filed under: uncultured bacterium
Lineage: Bacteria
Description: bacterial SSU rRNA
Rfam family: Bacterial small subunit ribosomal RNA
Source: RNAcentral